Mauremys mutica (yellowpond turtle) is the source of this 414-nucleotide long non-coding RNA. RefSeq lists it as uncharacterized. The record is from RefSeq and is a predicted model, not a curated record. The transcript has 3 exons. NCBI's taxonomy places the organism in Eukaryota, Metazoa, Chordata, Testudines, Geoemydidae.
AGCCCCUACCAUUGCAAGUCCUACACGGCUGCUGCUACUACUAUCCUGUGAGAUAAUUGAUUGCUAUUGUGCCCAUGAAUACCUGUGAAGUCUUGGAGUUUCUUCUUGCCUUUGUGCCUCUGCCUUGUGCUAGGAUGGUCUACAGUACAGCCCCGAUUUUCUGACAAAUUUCAGAGACUUUGGAGAAGCAGGCACUGGUUCUACAUGGAUCAUGGUUGUUUGGCUCGCCCCACUCCACCCACCAGCCAGAGGUUGGGGCACAGAGGUUACCUAACUCCACAUGCAUGGCAUUCCAGCUGAGGAGUGGCCAAACCCCCGACUCUGCUCCCCGGCAGGAGCACCAAGUGGCAGAGCAAGGCAAGCCCCCACACCCCAACCCCACUACACCCCUGCCUCAACCAAGCUUCACAAUCA